RNA transcript from Triticum urartu, 2648 nucleotides. RefSeq lists it as uncharacterized. NCBI's taxonomy places the organism in Eukaryota, Viridiplantae, Streptophyta, Magnoliopsida, Poales, Poaceae. The record is from RefSeq and is a predicted model, not a curated record.
CCAUCUCCGCCAACAAUGCGCCGCCGCCCCGCGCCGCGACCACCGGCCCCCGCCCCUCCGCCGCGUGCCGCCACUGCCGGCCAACGCCGCCGCGCCCACCCCUACCCGACGUGCCUCCAUCCCUGCGGUUUUCCACCGCCGGCGACAAUCAAAGCCGGCUCCGCACCUUCCCCAACUCAUCUUUCCCCUGCUCCUCUGUCGCUGCCGCUCUCCAUCGGCCGACCAACUCCCUCGAGUCAGCGCCGCCUCCUCCAUCUGGUUCCUGCUCGAUCUCCUCCAGGUACAGAUCCUCCACAAUCUCGCGCGACGGGAGAGGAGCCUCCGCGUGCUUCUUGUCGGGCGACAGCGCAGCUGUGCGCCCCUGACGCCGCCGCUCUUCCACGUGAGGAGAUGCUGCCUGCGGCUCGGCCGCCCCAACCCUAGGGCCGACGUCGUGGUCAUCGUCAAGAUCCCCUUCCCCUCUGUCAGCCAUCUUCUCCUCCCCGGCCGACGUCGUCGCCUUCGAGGACGAGGACGACGGUGGUGGCUGCGCGCUUCCCGUCGGCGGAUUCCACCACUACCCCCAGGUUGGGACUGGUGCGCGGGCGUCGACAUCUGUGUGCCCGAGAUCAUCAGAGUUGCAUCAGGCUGGCGCACAUCCUCCGCUACACCCCGACGCUGGAUGCGUCGACCUCAUCCCCUUGCCGCAGGAGAUAGAGGGCCCCCUGGACUGGGACACCGGCGAGAUGGAGGGCAACUUCAGUGCUGACCAGAGAGCCAAGGUGGUGGCCGUGCUCUACAUGGUGCCCGGCGACCUUAACGGCCAGUUCCACGCCGAGAAGAUGGGCUACCACGAGAUGGUCCUGCUCCGCCCCCAGGGCGCCGCUGAGGUGGUCGUGCUGGCUGCCGAAUUCGAUAAUACUCAUAUUUCAUCCCCUGCGUCAGCUCAUUGGGGGAGUUCUUCUCUACAGCACUUGCAUGUUAGGUCAGUUUCAUUUUGAGACCUCGGAUGUUUCUCUUGUGAAACCAUAUCCGGGUCUGUACAACAAGAUAUUGGAUCAGAAUGCACAUUGACUAGAUAUGUGUUGAAUAUCAGAGACAAUACAAAAUCGAGUCCAUUACAUCUCAGAUUGCUGUCUGGUUUAUUUUGGUGACAUCAUCCUGGUAUUUAUAUUCAAAGAAGGAUAAAUUAACCUUAUCCAGGUACACAUGAGUAUUUAUAUUCAUCUCAGAUUGUUCACAUUUAACUUCAGGUAGCAGAAAAUCAUGCAGCACACACGUUCAAUUAGCCACCUACUUAUGCUUGCAUAUCUUUCCGCGGAGUACUGCACAUCCUGAUCUGCGUCUACUUGACGAGCUGAUGCCACAGAUCAUGUCGAUUUGGUUACCAUUGAGUAGUUGGAGAGCUACCUUAAGACACACGGUGUACCAAUGGUAGUCAUAUAUAUCUCAUAACAGGGCUUUCCUUGAUCAGUGUUGUAUAAAGAUAUGGCCACUGAAUUUGGCGUGCCUGCCUCUUUGUUUUUCCGAAUAAUGUGAGAACUUCUAGCCUUCUAGAACAAGCAUAGUAGCUUAUUUUAACUUUGUCUAAUAAAUAUCCUAUAUGGUCAAUCUAGGAUGAUAUUGGCAGCUCUCCAUUGUACUCUGUCCGUACUACUUUUGCCUUUUUUUCUUCUGACUCUAUUGCUCUGCUCCAUACCACAACUCUUAAAUUGGACUUUUCGAACAUUUGACAAACAUUAGGGAAUUCAGUCCUGGUACAUUUCCUAGAACCGUGACCUUUAUUUCUUAGUGGAUUUUAAGUUUCAGUCACCCCUAUGGCUAUUUUAAGAAAGAAAGAAAAUAUUAGGUUAUCAGGAAUUUCGCCUCUCCCAUCUCAUUGUGAUUGUGAGCAUGCUCUUCACCUCUGCCAUAUCAUUACCAGUAUGCUCUUAAUGCACUUCAGCAAGUUCAAAUUUCAGUGCGUACUGGAAAUCUCUACCCACUUCUGAGCAAUUCAUUUUGUCAGAAGAUGAUAGUACACGACAGAACACGCCUGCUUCUAGCAAACUGUUGUGUUGUUUCCCUUGGAGGUUAGCUAGCCAUAGAUACUCGUCGGAUGGAAAACUCAUACAUACAAACCUAGCCGACCAUCAUGGACACCGGUUAAUCCUAUUUGGUGAUUGUAGGAAAGUGACGAUCUUUCAAGCCAACAACCAGGGGCAUGAGUUCACGUCUUCAGGUAUGUGUAUGCACAUGAUCGUCUAAAGUAGAUGUUUAUACAUCUCCUGGCCAGUUUGAUAUUUGGUCUCUCAUACUAGGAGUCGUUAAUAAGCUUCAACUAAUGAGAUGGAACGAUAUUGCUUUUUUAAGCACUUAACCACAGGAAGAAACUGUUUUGUGACUAUCGGCAUCGAAUAGAAACGAAUGAAGUAUCGAUACUGGAAAAAUGGAUAAUCAGGUGUCUCUAACAUGUGCUAGCAUAUAUUGUUUGCAUCUCAAGAUGACCCGGUACACAAAUUUUCUUUCUCUGCGGUACGAUGAUCUUAAUAGAUCAGUAACCUUUAUGAGAAACAAUGUGUUUGUUAUUUUGAUUAUCAUGAUGAUCGUCACUUUGUCAGGUACCAAUGUAUCUUUUGGACGUUGUAUGUUUGUUAUUUUGUCAGUAUUAUAUAUAUUCUUGAACUUUA